UCAAAAUAAUUCAAUUUAUAUAGCGUCUACCAUUCCGUUUAUCUGCCACUGCACGGUACUUAAACGAUCAAGAAUAAGAUACAGGUCAAACAAGCAAACCAUAACAAAAUGUUCAUCUUUGUACAGGUUCGUAAACUGUGUGACUGGUAUCGCCUUACGCGUGACAGGUAAAUUAUCCUCAUGACCAGUCUCAAGACCGAUGACGCAUUUAAAUUCCAUGACAUGUCACGAGACCAACCAUCGAGGCUUGGAAGCUAACCUGUUUGAGACAUGAGACAUUUUCAGCAGAGCGUGAAUGUACGGGUGGCUUGACAUGUCGCGAAAAAUGUACACAGGUUCCAACUAUGGUUCAGAUAACUAUUAUGCGGAUUAUAUCAUUAGGAAUUUGAAGGUCACGAAACGAAACGUCAAUUCAGCCGGUGAAGAAGUCGAAGAGACACGAUUCCUUUCCCAGUACCAUUAUCUCAUCUGGAAGGAUUUUAUGGCUCCUCAGCACCCACAGGGAAACUUCAAUUCAUCAAGCGCAUUAACUCCGAAUACUCAUUGCAGCAUGGCCCAAUUCUAGUUCACUGCACUGCCGGUGUCGGCUGGACGGGUACGUUUGUUGCGUUGGAUACCUUAACGCAGCAGCUGAACGAGGAGGGCCAAGUGUUCAUUUUCAACACAAUUUAUGAUAUGUGAUAUCAAAGAAAUUUUCUCGUACAGUCAUUG
Topomyia yanbarensis is the source of this 711-nucleotide long non-coding RNA. RefSeq lists it as uncharacterized. The record is from RefSeq and is a predicted model, not a curated record. The transcript is spliced from 2 exons. NCBI's taxonomy places the organism in Eukaryota, Metazoa, Arthropoda, Insecta, Diptera, Culicidae.